ACUCAAUGGAUAAACCAUUCAUCACCACCAUCAUCACCAUCAUUGUCACAAUGCUGCAAGCUGAGAUUAUGUACAAUGUUCACAAUCUGAUAUCUGUUGCCUCUGCGAAUCCAGUGAAUCCCUUGUGGUUGGGCCAGAAUUCAAGCUUCUGCAUUAAAACAAUGUGGAUGAUCAUCUGCGAUUACAAGUGGAGAGAAGAGUAGAUGAAACGGGUUUCUGAAGUCUACACAAACCUCUGUCUCGCUACCUUGAGAGAUCCCAUAGCCAAGCUGCUUUCUUUGAAACAUCAAGGUCGACUCAUUGCGAAUACUCGGACAUCAGCUUGAGAAACGAGGCAGCGAAAUGUGUUUCUCACAGCACUGUGACUAAUUCCUCCAACUUUCUUUUUAAGGACACUAAGCGAUGCACCAAAAGAAGGCAUAUUUUUUUCUGGUUGUCUUUUUCAAGUGUAGCCCUAAUAGCACCACAUGCGAACGACAUAAUUGGUUUGUAAUCGUCUGAAUCAAGUGGUUUCAGAGUGGGGACAUUAGUGUUAGAACUGCUGGUGCUAGUGGUGUACUUGGUAGGAUCCUUUUCUCUAAGUGCUUGAGCAAUGUCAUUAACCCUGGGAACAACUGUAUUUUCUUUAGGGAUUAUCCUCAUUGCAUUAACAAAUUUUCGCAUGCCUUAUUCGGCAAGAAAGGCUUUGCUAUUUAAGCCAAAAUCGCAAGUUUUACCUAUUCGGCACGACACACA
This is a non-coding RNA of Cherax quadricarinatus, 735 nucleotides long. The record is from RefSeq and is a predicted model, not a curated record. NCBI's taxonomy places the organism in Eukaryota, Metazoa, Arthropoda, Malacostraca, Decapoda, Parastacidae.